CAGGCCUAACACAUGCAAGUCGAACGCCCGAGCAAUCGGGAGUGGCAGACGGGUGAGUAACGCGUGGGAACAUACCCUUCGGUUCGGAACAACGCCGGGAAACUGGCGCUAAUACCGGAUACGGCUGAGAGGCGAAAGAUUGAUCGCCGAAGGAUUGGCCCGCGUUCGAUUAGCUAGAUGGUGCGGGUAACGGCUCACCAUGGCGACGAUCGAUAGCUGGUCUGAGAGGAUGGCCAGCCACACUGGGACUGAGACACGGCCCAGACUCCUACGGGAGGCAGCAGUGGGAAUAUUGGACAAUGGGCGCAAGCCUGAUCCAGCCAUGCCGCGUGAGUGAUGACGGCCUUAGGGUUGUAAAGCUCUUUCGCGCACGACGAUAAUGACGGGAGUGCGAGAAGAAGCCCCGGCUAACUUCGUGCCAGCAGCCGCGGUAA
This 434-nucleotide ribosomal RNA is filed under the name uncultured bacterium. Its description in RNAcentral is "bacterial SSU rRNA". It matches the Rfam family "Bacterial small subunit ribosomal RNA", at positions 43 to 523 of the family's 1533-position model. The record is from RNAcentral.